AGAGUUUGAUCCUGGCUCAGGAUGAACGCUGGCGGCGUGCUUAACACAUGCAAGUCGAACGGGAAUUAUUUUAUUGAAGCUUCGGUCGAUUUAAUUUAAUUCUAGUGGCGGACGGGUGAGUAACGCGUGGGUAACCUGCCUUGUACAGGGGGAUAACAGUCAGAAAUGACUGCUAAUACCGCAUAAGCGCACAGGACCGCAUGGUCCGGUGUGAAAAACUCCGGUGGUAUAAGAUGGACCCGCGUUGGAUUAGCUAGUUGGUGGGGUAACGGCCUACCAAGGCGACGAUCCAUAGCCGGCCUGAGAGGGUGAACGGCCACAUUGGGACUGAGACACGGCCCAGACUCCUACGGGAGGCAGCAGUGGGGAAUAUUGCACAAUGGGGGAAACCCUGAUGCAGCGACGCCGCGUGAAGGAAGAAGUAUCUCGGUAUGUAAACUUCUAUCAGCAGGGAAGAAAAUGACGGUACCUGACUAAGAAGCCCCGGCUAACUACGUGCCAGCAGCCGCGGUAAUACGUAGGGGGCAAGCGUUAUCCGGAUUUACUGGGUGUAAAGGGAGCGUAGACGGAUGGACAAGUCUGAUGUGAAAGGCUGGGGCUCAACCCCGGGACUGCAUUGGAAACUGCCCGACUUGAGUGCGCAGGAAGUAGGCGGAAUUCGUCGUGUAGCGGUGAAAUGCUUAGAUAUGACGAAGAACUCCGAUUGCGAAGGCAGCCUGCUGUAGCGCAACUGACGCUGAAGCUCGAAAGCGUGGGUAUCGAACAGGAUUAGAUACCCUGGUAGUCCACGCGGUAAACGAUGGAUGCUCGCUGUUUGCGUCUGACGUAAGCGGCCAAGCGAAAGCGUUAAGCAUCCCACCUGGGGAGUACGCCGGCAACGGUGAAACUCAAAGGAAUUGACGGGGGCCCGCACAAGCGGAGGAACAUGUGGUUUAAUUCGAUGAUACGCGAGGAACCUUACCCGGGCUUGAACUGUAGGCGAACGAUUCAGAGAUGAAGAGGCCCUUCGGGGCGCCUAUGGAGGUGCUGCAUGGUUGUCGUCAGCUCGUGCCGUGAGGUGUCGGCUUAAGUGCCAUAACGAGCGCAACCCUUGUUCGUAGUUGCCAUCGGGUUAUGCCGGGCACUCUGCGAAGACUGCCUCCGUAAGGAGCGAGGAAGGUGGGGAUGACGUCAAAUCAGCACGGCCCUUACGUCCGGGGCUACACACGUGUUACAAUGGCAUGUACAGAAAGCUGGGUGUAUGCAAAUACGCUCGAAUCCCUAAAACAUGUCUCAGUUCGGACUGGGGUCUGCAACCCGACCCCACGAAGCUGGAUUCGCUAGUAAUCGCGCAUCAGCCAUGGCGCGGUGAAUACGUUCCCGGGCCUUGUACACACCGCCCGUCAAGCCAUGAAAGCCGGGGGCGCCUAAAGUCCGUGACCGCGAGGGUCGGCCUAGGGUGAAACCGGUGAUUGGGGCUAAGUCGUAACAAGGUA
RNAcentral lists this ribosomal RNA (1475 nucleotides) under metagenome. Its description in RNAcentral is "bacterial SSU rRNA". It matches the Rfam family "Bacterial small subunit ribosomal RNA". The record is from RNAcentral.